UUGGGGUAGCCAAAAAAGACAACUCUGUUCCGCAGAGUAGCUGUUGACAUUAUAGUUGCGCAGGAACUUUGUUUACUCUAGAGAACCUAGGGCAAAUCGCACAUCCCUGUGGCGGCAACUUUGCAUGCGGAUGUCAUCCAUAUCAACUUUUGAUGCCAGUUUCUGCGCCUAUCAUGGUGACCACGGGUAAUGAGGAGUCAGGGUUCCAUUCCGUACAGGGACCCUGAGAAACAACUACCACAUGCAAGGAAGGCAGCAGGCGUGCAAAUGACCCACUCCCGACGCGGGAAGGUAGUGACGA
This is a non-coding RNA of Pelobates cultripes (western spadefoot toad), 301 nucleotides long. Lineage: Eukaryota; Metazoa; Chordata; Amphibia; Anura; Pelobatidae. The record is from the annotation of a GenBank genome assembly.